CCUGCAACAUAGCGUUAAUGCACCAUAUCCCAUUAAAACUCCGCAGUUAAGCAUGCUUCAGAUAGAGUAGUACUAGAAUGGGUGACCGCCCAGGAUGUCCUACUAUUUUAUAUGC
Molecule: non-coding RNA, 115 nt
Organism: Picea glauca (white spruce)
Lineage: Eukaryota; Viridiplantae; Streptophyta; Pinopsida; Pinales; Pinaceae
Source: Rfam